AAUACGACCGUACCGCAAACCGACACUGGUGCGCGAGAUGAGUAUUCUAAGGCGCUUGAGAGAACUCAGGAGAAGGAACUCGGCAAAUUGACACCGUAACUUCGGAAGAAGGUGUGCCCUAUUAGUGUGUGGUGAACAACGAAGCAUGAAUGGGUUGCAAAAAAUCGGUGGCUGCGACUGUUUAUUAAAAACACAGCACUCUGCAAACACGAAAGUGGACGUAUAGGGUGUGACGCCUGCCCGGUGCUGGAAGAUUAAAUGAUGGGGUGCAAGCUCUUGAUUGAAGUCCCAGUAAACGGCGGCCGUAACUAUAACGGUCCUAAGGUAGCGAAAUUCCUUGUCGGGUAAGUUCCGACCUGCACGAAUGGCGUAACGAUGGCCACACUGUCUCCUCCUGAGACUCAGCGAAGUUGAAAUGUUUGUGAUGAUGCAAUCUCCCCGCGGAAAGACGGAAAGACCCCAUGAACCUUUACUGUAGCUUUGUAUUGGACUUUGAACAGAUCUGUGUAGGAUAGGUGGGAGGCUUUGAAGCAGGGUCGCUAGAUCUUGUGGAGCCAACGUUGAAAUACUACCCUGGUGUGUUUGAGGUUCUAACCUAGGUCCAUUAUCUGGAUCGGGGACAGUGCAUGGUAGGCAGUUUGACUGGGGCGGUCUCCUCCCAAAGCGUAACGGAGGAGUUCGAAGGUACGCUAGUUACGGUCGGACAUCGUGACGAUAGUGCAAUGGCAUAAGCGUGCUUAACUGCGAGACUGACAAGUCGAGCAGAUGCGAAAGCAGGACAUAGUGAUCCGGUGGUUCUGUAUGGAAGGGCCAUCGCUCAACGGAUAAAAGGUACUCUGGGGAUAACAGGCUGAUACCGCCCAAGAGUUCAUAUCGACGGCGGUGUUUGGCACCUCGAUGUCGGCUCAUCUCAUCCUGGGGCUGUAGCCGGUCCCAAGGGUAUGGCUGUUCGCCAUUUAAAGAGGUACGUGAGCUGGGUUUAAAACGUCGUGAGACAGUUUGGUCCCUAUCUUCCGUGGGCGCUGCAGAUUUGAGGAAGCCUGCUCCUAGUACGAGAGGACCGGAGUGGACACACCUCUGGUGUAUCGGUUGUCACGCCAGUGGCAUUGCCGAGUAGCUAAGUGUGGAAGAGAUAACCGCUGAAAGCAUCUAAGCGGGAAACUCGUUUCAAGAUGAGAUCUGCCGGGGCCUUGAGCCCCCUAAAGAGUCGGAAAAAAG
This 1218-nucleotide ribosomal RNA is filed under the name metagenome. RNAcentral's name for it is "bacterial LSU rRNA". It matches the Rfam family "Bacterial large subunit ribosomal RNA", at positions 1635 to 2845 of the family's 2925-position model. The record is from RNAcentral.